ACGUAGGGUGCGAGAGUUAAUCGGAAUUACUGGGCGUAAAGCGUGCGCAGGCGGUUUUUUAAGACAGUGGUGAAAUCCCCGGGCUCAACCUGGGAACUGCCAUUGUGACUGGAAGGCUGGAGGGCGGGAGGGGGGGAUGGAAUUCCGGGUGGAGCGGGGAAUUGCGUAGAUAGCGGGAGGAACACCGGGGGCGAAGGCAAGAAACGGGAGGGGAUCUGACGCGGAGGCGGGAAAGUCGGGGGAGCAAACUG
This 251-nucleotide ribosomal RNA is filed under the name uncultured prokaryote. RNAcentral's name for it is "partial 16S rRNA". It matches the Rfam family "Bacterial small subunit ribosomal RNA", at positions 525 to 775 of the family's 1533-position model. The record is from RNAcentral.